Molecule: ribosomal RNA, 497 nt
Filed under: uncultured bacterium
Lineage: Bacteria
Description: partial 16S ribosomal RNA
Rfam family: Bacterial small subunit ribosomal RNA
Source: RNAcentral
GACGAACGCUGGCGGCGUGCCUAAUACAUGCAAGUUGAGCGCUGAAGGUUGGUACUUGUACCGACUGGAUGAGCAGCGAACGGGUGAGUAACGCGUGGGGAAUCUGCCUUUGAGCGGGGGACAACAUUUGGAAACGAAUGCUAAUACCGCAUAAAAACUUUAAACACAAGUUUUAAGUUUGAAAGAUGCAAUUGCAUCACUCAAAGAUGAUCCCGCGUUGUAUUAGCUAGUUGGUGAGGUAAAGGCUCACCAAGGGGAUGAUACAUAGCCGACCUGCGAGGGUGGGCGGCCACAUUGGGACUGAGACACGGCCCAAAGUCCUUGGGGAGGCAGCAGUAGGGAAUCGUCGGCAAUGGACGAAAGUCUGACCGAGCAACGCCGCGUGAGUGAAGAAGGUUUUCGGAUCGUAAAACUCUGUUGGUAGAGAAGAACGUUGGUGAGAGUGGAAAGCUCAUAAAGUGACGGUAACUACACAGAAAGGGACGGCUAACUACGUG